UAAUCAAACAAAAUCCCGGGGGCGUCAUCCCCAGACAGUCAUCCUGUAAGAAUGGGCCUCUAGUUUCAAGCCGAACAAAGAGGAAGAUCAUGGAGCCUUCUCACUUCCUUCAGAGAAGCGAGCUCACAGAGCUGAGUGCUGCCUCAAACUUGGAGGGACAGACAGAGGGUCAGGCAAGGCAGACUAAUCCGGAGUAAGAAUUUGCCAGAGUGACCCCAUGACAGAAGCCUCCCUUGGAGUCAGUGCCCAAGAAGGAAAGAGUGGCCUGAAACUCAGUGUGGAUUAACCAGAGUUAACAUCCCAGAGGGCCCAGACACAGGGCUCCGCACUUAGAGGCCAUGCCUCUGUCGGCCUAGACACAUCCUCACAAGGAACACUGGAGAAGUAUUCUCCUAGCCAGGGGAGGAAAAUGGACCAUUGUGAAGUAUACCAGAGCCUUCUACUCUUCCUAAGCAGGCCUGGCCUCAGGAGGAAUUAUACACACUGUACCCAUGGUUUGCCUUCGCAUGGCUUCAACCCUGAUUUGAAAAUGUUAAACUGAAAACUCCAGAAGCAAAAAGAAACAAAAGAAAAAAAUGUAUAAAGUUUUAAAUUCUGUUGAUGGCAGGAAACUGUUACAAUUGUCCAACAUCACUGUUGUGAAUCUCUAGCUGCCUCUGUCUCACAACUGACUUCUCUUGGGCUGUGUGUACAGUAGGAAAAGAUACUCUGUAAGCUUUGGCAUGGUCUGCAGGGUCCGCUGUGUGUGUGUGUGUGUGGGGGGGGAUCUUACUGCAUGCCUCUUGGAUUGGGUCAGGGAGCUCCUACUGUGCCAUUCCAGCUUUAAAACAACUUCAAAGGACUUUGAAGCUGAGUUGCUUUUCCAAAUUCACAUACUAAAGCCCUAACCACCAGGACCUAAAUAUGCAAGUGUGUUUGGAGACAGGGGCCUUCCAAAGGUAAUCGGGUUAUGGUGGGGUCAUCUGAGUGCUUCUUAAUCUAAUGGGUCUGUGGGGUUUUUUUUUUUCUCCAUUUUCAUUCAUUAAUUAAUUUAUUCACUUUACAUCCUGAUUGCAGACCGCCUCCCUCCUCGCCUCCCAGUCCAUCCCUCAGCAGCCCCUCUCCUCACCGACCCCUCCCCUUCUCCUCAGAGAAGAGGAAGCCCCCCAUGGGUACCAGCCAGCCCUGACACAUCAAGUCUCAGCAGGACUAGGCACAUCCUCUCCCACUGAGGCCUGGCAAGACAGUGAGAGCAGCACAGAAGUGCCUGUACCCACGCACGCGGGGUAGUGGAGACUCUAAGCAUCUGUAAGCCAAGGAGACAGUCCUCGGGAGUAAUGGAUCUGGGGAGAGCGAAUCUCAAAGUUUUAACCUGUAGACGUGUAAGGCAACAUAUUUCUGCCCUUUAUACCCCGAGCCUGUGCCACUUGGUUAUGACAGCUCCUGCGAAUCAACGCAGACGCAAUAAGGGAAAUUAAUUGUGAUCAUAACCGCCUCUCACUACUCUACUAUCCUUUCAGUCCAUUUCCUUUAGAGAAUUCCAAAGACCACAAAACAUGGCCAUGUGCUCUGGGAAGAAGUCUUCUGGCAACUCCGUCUUCACAAAGGCACUUUUAGUAAUGAGCCUUGGCACCGGAGUAAGCCGCAUCCUGCCCCAGGGUGGGUCCCGCCAUUGUCCUCUGUGGGCAGCCACAGGGAGCCAAAGAUGUCAUACUGUCCGAGGGUGUGCCACCUGGGAAACCACUUUAAAGACAACAGUGGUGCUGGCUCCCAGGCCCGCCCUUCUCAUCCAGUCUCAGUGUUAACAUCUUUAAGAAAAGUCCCCCUUCUUUCAUGUCCCAUGAAGCAGGAGGCAAGUGAGAUUCCACCCGGCAAAGGCAUUGGGUAAUAGCGACUCCAUAGCAAUCAGCUUAGACAGCACGGCUCACACCAGCUCUGGCUCAGUGAUGACAUUAGGGGGUGAGAAUAUUUGUCCCUUAAAGACUCCAAUUUCAGAACUUCAAAUCGCUCACGGGCUUUUAUCAUUUGUCAUUUAUGUGCGUUAAUCAAAUUAUUCAAAUGUUUUCAUUUCUUCCUAUAAACACAUUCAUUUAGAAGACACUUAGUAUCCUUCCCCCAGCUAAUUGUUUAAUGAAAAAGAAAGCAAAAAGGGGUCUUUCAUUUCUGUUUUCUCGUCUCUCUUUCAACACUGAGGUCGUGUUUCUCACCUGUGCUCCGACAUGUGCUAAGUUUACAUUUCUAUAAAUUUAUACGUGGAGGGUAUUUCAUUUUGGUCCAGUGUUUCCCCUCCUGGGAAGAGAAAGUGGUAUUUAUACUCUCUCCUAAUAAAUGCAAGACUUUGUUCU
This 2324-nucleotide long non-coding RNA is filed under the name Mus musculus (house mouse). RNAcentral's name for it is "long non-coding RNA chr5:75737881-75740205". Lineage: Eukaryota; Metazoa; Chordata; Mammalia; Rodentia; Muridae. The record is from RNAcentral.